This 550-nucleotide ribosomal RNA is filed under the name Massilia agri. Its description in RNAcentral is "bacterial SSU rRNA". It matches the Rfam family "Bacterial small subunit ribosomal RNA", at positions 331 to 873 of the family's 1533-position model. The record is from RNAcentral. Lineage: Bacteria; Pseudomonadati; Pseudomonadota; Betaproteobacteria; Burkholderiales; Oxalobacteraceae.
UGGGGGGCCUACGGGAGGCAGCAGUGGGGAAUUUUGGACAAUGGGCGCAAGCCUGAUCCAGCAAUGCCGCGUGAGUGAAGAAGGCCUUCGGGUUGUAAAGCUCUUUUGUCAGGGAAGAAACGGCUGCGGCUAAUAUCCGCGGCUAAUGACGGUACCUGAAGAAUAAGCACCGGCUAACUACGUGCCAGCAGCCGCGGUAAUACGUAGGGUGCAAGCGUUAAUCGGAAUUACUGGGCGUAAAGCGUGCGCAGGCGGUUUUGUAAGUCUGACGUGAAAGCCCCGGGCUCAACCUGGGAAUUGCGUUGGAGACUGCAAGGCUUGAAUCUGGCAGAGGGGGGUAGAAUUCCACGUGUAGCAGUGAAAUGCGUAGAGAUGUGGAGGAACACCGAUGGCGAAGGCAGCCCCCUGGGUCAAGAUUGACGCUCAUGCACGAAAGCGUGGGGAGCAAACAGGAUUAGAUACCCUGGUAGUCCACGCCCUAAACGAUGUCUACUAGUUGUCGGGUUUUAAUUAACUUGGUAACGCAGCUAACGCGUGAAGUAGACCAGCC